GAUUGUUUUAUUUUUUCAACUCUUCUAUUUAUAAAGGCAGCAACACAGUUUAUUUUCAUGGUUCAUUUUAAAUUUAGGUUUUCCACGUUAUUGAUACAUGUUAUGUACAAGACUGGAAUGUACUCAAGUUCAACAAAUAGAAAUGUUUAGACACGUUCCAUGGCAUGUAACAAUAAACGGUUCUCUGCAGUGUUUUUGAGUUCCAGUGAGGCAUUUUUUUUUCCAGAUUUUGGGUAUGGUUAUUAAAAUAAAAAUUAUAUUUGAUUUUACAAAUUUAAACAAAUAGAAAAUUGUUAAAAAAUGACUUCAGCGAACAAAAAAACUAAAAUUUUAAAAAGUGAACAUUUAAAUAUAUUUCUAAAAAUAUAAAUGAGUCUGUACAAAAUAUAUCAUUCUUCAAAACUUCUCUACAUUUGAAAUCUAGCAACCACAUAGGUGUGAGUUAAUGCCAGCCUGAAAUAGAUAGAGUUGUGAUGUAAAUUUAACCAAAACUUAUAUCAAAUUUGGACUAUUCAAUGUAUUUCCUCUGGAAAGUAUAGGAUAAGAAUCUCUUCUUGGGUGGCCUCCCAUACUUUAGUAAUUUAACGUUGACUAAAACUUCAUCUAGAAUAAGGCUGGUGCUAGCAUUUGAAUAAACCAUCGACUUCCACCUAUAAGAUGAGAUUGCUAGUUUGCUUUCUAUUCAACAGGCCUCCAAGUUUCAUCAAUGGCUGUGUGUUUUAUUCCUUGCUUCUAAGCAGUGAUGCCCUCAUGUCUAUGUUUUUGCUUUUAUAGAAAAAUGGAUGCUUAGGAAUUGAUGUUUAUUGUUUUGUGUGUGAAUGCAUUUUGGGUCAAAUGGAAUUUGUUUGAGGAACAAGUCUUCCCAGUUCCUGUGUGAAUUUACUGGAAUCACAUGAGAAGAUUUCUAGCAGUUUGAAAGCCACAGACGCAAAGAGUUGUUUCAUCUCCUUGGGAUGCUACAACAUCCUAAUUUUGGCAAAAAAAUAAGGGAAUGUCCUGUUUUCAUUUAAAAAGGGGAGUUGAAGGAGUUAGGGAGAUGGGUGCAGGGGGCGACAUCCCAUCUUUGUCUUUUGAAUGUUUUGGAUGGGUGUCUAGUCUCUGGAGACAUGUCCCUGAGGAACAUUAGUUUUCAGUGACAGCAAGAAUAUGCUAUGCAUGAUGAUGAUCUUAUUGAUGAGUAUAUCUCUUUGUAGCAUUAAUUGAGACAAGUUGGUCUUUAUGCAAAGCUGGCCAAUUUUGAGCUAAAUCAAAAUAAGAAAAUUAUCAAUGAUAAAUGAAUGAAGUUAUGUCUAUUGUUUA
This is a long non-coding RNA of Cryptomeria japonica (Japanese cedar), 1299 nucleotides long. RefSeq lists it as uncharacterized. NCBI's taxonomy places the organism in Eukaryota, Viridiplantae, Streptophyta, Pinopsida, Cupressales, Cupressaceae. The record is from RefSeq and is a predicted model, not a curated record. The transcript has 2 exons.